CUCAGCUUUCAUUUUUUUUAAAAGUGUAUUGUUUCUAGCUCUCAUGGUUGUGGAGAAAAGCUUGAAGAUGUGACUCAUGUAAUUUAAAGGCUCAAACAUCAGAAGGCAAAUAAAAAAUAAGACAUGUAUUUUUUAAAAACAUCAUGAUUUUGGGGGCCUGCUUCAUGUUUUUGAUCAUUUGGGGUUGGCAAGACAGCUCUUCCUCUCUGUGCACCAGUUUCCCAUUUGUAAAAUUGGAUAAUAAUACUUCCCUACUUCCCAGAAGUGUUAAAAUUCACUUAAGUUUGUGAGGUGCUCAGAUAGAUACUAUAAUGAUUGGGACCGUAUAAAUACAUAGACUCUUGUGAUGAAGGCUUUUGCAAUGUUUUGUGUACUUGUCUUUUGACCUCUCUCUUAUACAAAUUGCUUUUUUAUUUCAGCAAGGAGUAAAAGAAAAGCCAAUCAUGUGUCAGCUGACUUCUAUGUUUUUGCCUCACACAGUACUAUGUUUACAGGAAAUGCCUGCUACAGAGACAGUUUUGUACAGAGAGGUGGUGUCAGAUUUGACUAACAUGCUUACAUGAUUAGGUUUACUAAGUGAAGACCCAGAUGACACAGUGAUGAGAGACUUGCAAGCAAUCAGGCUUUUGCAACAUCAAUUAAUCCAAGAAGCGAUUUUAUGCUGUACCUCUUUACUGAUCGGUAACCAUGCAUGAGGUUACACGUCCCCUCCCCCACCAAGAAUGUGCCUCCCUGCUGCAUUAGUAACUAUCUCUUCAACACAUAUUCAGUUACCAGUCUCCCUCUAUAAUCAGGAGCAGCUUUUUUUUUUUUGGCAUUCUAGUAGACUAAAAGGACUGCAGUCUUUAAAAAUGCACUUUGUAGGUAUUUUAAUACUUGUCCAGAAUGUGUAGGUUCAAUUACAUUGUGUAGUGAAUUUAACAUGAAUCAUCUUAUUUUUAUCAUGCAAAAUAAACGGUAGUGUUUCUUUCAGUGAUAUACACACGCUGUGAAUGAAAAUGCAUAAUUUCAAGUAUAGGCAGGCCCGAUUCCUGAAAACACAUGCGUCACUAUGGGACUACUCACAUGCGUAAAGCCGCUGCUGUCCCUUCAUCAGCACUUCUGUCUCAGACCUCCAAUGCAGCAAAAAUCCUGGUGCUUCUGAACAUUUUGAAUGCCUUGCAGUUGAUAUGAUAAAAAUGUGCAUUUGAAAGGAUAUAAAGAGAUGAGUGACUGUUUAAAAUGGGGCAUUAGCAUGACAGUUGACAAAGGCAUGGUAUAUUGUUGGAUCCCACUGGCUUCUAAUGCUCGUUAAUGAGAACAAGUAUUCCUUGAUCAGAGUCAGAGAUAGUAGCUUCAAAUAUACUUCACAUAGACAUUGGAUGUAUGUCACAUUUUGAAAAGAUUGUAUAUAUGUUCAUAUACCUUAGGCACACAUCCCUUUGCUUCUGAACAUUACUGGUUGUUUUCUUUGGUGAUUGACUAGUGACCUGAACCUUUUCCUGUACUUUUGUUGUGUUUAUUUGAUUUUUUUCCCCUUCCCUGUAGUUGCAGGAAUAAUGCUCUGGCAUGCAUGUGCAAUGCUGUACAGCUAGAGAUCUCCAAUAAAGAGUCUGAGUAGUGCUGAGCAUCGGCAAUGCCAUUUAGAUCAAAUUACUUUAUUUGGGCUCUGAACACACUUAGCUGCUCCAGGAAGCUCUCGGCAACUUGAAAGAUUAGGUUCUACAUGCAGUUUCUUGGCCGAAAUUGGAGAUUUUAGCCAUAAUGCCUGACAAAAUCUCACAGAUAUGGGCCCAAAUCUCCCACACAAUUGCACAGAUUUGAGGCAAAAUCUGCACAGAUGUUGUUAAUGGUCCCAGCUGAUUUCUAUUACCCCAGAUCACGUGCAGAUACUUUAUGAGAGAAAGAUAGCACAGGAAAAACUUGCCAAAUUACAGUAAGUGUAGCAUAAUACUAGUUCCUCUUUACACAAUAGCUAUGUCUUCGCUAGUAUUUGUCUUCAGACUUCUCACUGUUACACUGCCACUGGCAGAAGGCUACCAGUAGUGUCAACAGUAGGAGCGCUAGUAUAGACCAACAGUAGGAACAAUAGCGUAGAUUGACUGCUGGCUCUAAAACUCUAGACGCCACCAGAAACUUGUCUACACUUAUCUGUUCCCACUAUUGCUAUCAGCAGCGGCGUCAGCAUGAGACCAAGGCUGGGAAAUUGGAAGGGAAAUGUUAGCGUAAACGUGGUUGCAGUGGUGCCAGCAAGAAACAGUUUAGACGUAUGCAUGGACCAGAUUUUCAGCUGUUGCAAAUCAGCGCAGUGCCAUUGACUUUCGUGGAGCUACACUAAUUUAUAGCAGCUGUGAAUCUAACUCCGGGUUCUAGCAUGCUUAGAGAGAUUUUUUUUUUUCUUGUGAACAUAAACCUGUGUCUGUUGUUGAGAGCCCCAGUCCUGCAAUGUUGGGCAGAAUCCCAUUGCAUGGAGGCUUACUGGAGUCAGUGGGGCUAUGCCCAACUGCAGAGAUCCUGCAAGGGGGAGUUUAUUCCGGGACUGAGGCUUAGCAUGUUUCAACAAGGAUGGUCUCCAUGCUUCAGGAUUGGGCUCUUAGGGAUUUUCUGCAAAUCUGGUAGGUAUACUGAAUAGGACGACAUUCUGCCCUCAGCCUACUCACGUUAGGCUGUUAUUCAGAACAAUCCAUGGGCAGAUUUGCCUUCUUUUAGCCUUUUCUGUUAAAUGAACAUAUUUUUAAAUGGACACCCAUGUCAAAUAUUAUCUCAGAUUCAGGUUUUUCCUAAGAUAGGUUUUCUCCAAAACUUCCCAACAUUAGAAAUAUUUCCAUGAUUUAAAAAAAAACAACAAAAAAAAAACAGGAAGAAGAAAUUUUUUCAGAGAAGACCUUGAGGUGUUAUACUAAUAUGUGAGAGCCAGAAAGUUAAAACUUAUACUAGGGAUUAUGUAUUUUUGACUAUAUACGAAGAUGAAGGUGACACAUUUUCCUGUCUAACUGGUGAUAAAUGAAAAUAAAUAAAUAAACAGGAUGUACUGUGAGUGAAGUAAUAUAUUAUAUUGAA
Molecule: long non-coding RNA, 3039 nt
Organism: Chelonia mydas (Green sea turtle)
Lineage: Eukaryota; Metazoa; Chordata; Testudines; Cheloniidae
Exons: 3
Source: RefSeq, a predicted model, not a curated record